Molecule: ribosomal RNA, 489 nt
Filed under: uncultured bacterium
Lineage: Bacteria
Description: bacterial SSU rRNA
Rfam family: Bacterial small subunit ribosomal RNA
Source: RNAcentral
AUUGAACGCUGGCGGCAUGCCUUACACAUGCAAGUCGAACGGCAGCACGGGAGCAAUCCUGGUGGCGAGUGGCGAACGGGUGAGUAAUAUAUCGGAACGUGCCCAGUCGUGGGGGAUAACGUAGCGAAAGCUACGCUAAUACCGCAUACGAUCUAUGGAUGAAAGCGGGGGAUCGCAAGACCUCGCGCGAUUGGAGCGGCCGAUAUCAGAUUAGGUAGUUGGUGGGGGUAAAAGCCUACCAAGCCUUCGAUCUGUAGCUGGUCUGAGAGGACGACCAGCCACACUGGAACUGAGACACGGUCCAGACUCCUACGGGAGGCAGCAGUGGGGAAUUUUGGACAAUGGGCGCAAGCCUGAUCCAGCCAUGCCGCGUGCAGGAUGAAGGGCCUUCGGUUGUAACUAGCUUUUGUACGGUAACGAAAAGAACUCUCUCUAAUACAGGGGUGGAAGUGACGGUACCGUAAGAAUAAGACACCGGCUAACUACGUG